ACAGAGGGGGCAAGCGUUGCUCGGAAUCACUGGGCGUAAGGGGCGCGUAGGCGGGAUGGCAAGUCAGUCGUGAAAUCUCUCGGCUCAACCGAGAAACGUCGGCUGAUACUGCCGUUCUUGAGGGAUGCAGAGGGGACUGGAAUUCCCGGUGUAGCGGUGAAAUGUGUAGAUAUCUGGAGGAACACCGGUGGCGAAGGCGGCAUCCUGGACCGGUAUUGACGCUGAGGCGCGAAAGCCAGGGGAGCAGACGGGA
This 253-nucleotide ribosomal RNA is filed under the name uncultured prokaryote. RNAcentral describes it as "partial 16S ribosomal RNA". It matches the Rfam family "Bacterial small subunit ribosomal RNA", at positions 525 to 777 of the family's 1533-position model. The record is from RNAcentral.